This 76-nucleotide transfer RNA is filed under the name Agreia sp. Leaf283. RNAcentral describes it as "tRNA-Arg". It matches the Rfam family "tRNA". From Rfam's summary of the family: Transfer RNA (tRNA) molecules are approximately 80 nucleotides in length. Their secondary structure includes four short double-helical elements and three loops (D, anti-codon, and T loops). The record is from RNAcentral. Lineage: Bacteria; Bacillati; Actinomycetota; Actinomycetes; Micrococcales; Microbacteriaceae.
GCCUCCGUAGCUCAGUGGAUAGAGCAAGAGCCUUCUAAUCUCUUGGUCGUAGGUUCGAUUCCUACCGGGGGCACCG